UCCCAGUUAUUCUGUUGUUGCUCUGUGUC
RNAcentral lists this non-coding RNA (29 nucleotides) under Mus musculus (house mouse). Lineage: Eukaryota; Metazoa; Chordata; Mammalia; Rodentia; Muridae. The record is from RNAcentral.